Molecule: ribosomal RNA, 255 nt
Filed under: uncultured bacterium
Lineage: Bacteria
Description: partial 16S ribosomal RNA
Source: RNAcentral
CUGCUGCCUUCCGUAGGAGUUUGGGCCGUGUCUCAGUCCCAAUGUGGCCGGUCACCCUCUCAGGUCGGCUACUGAUCGUUGCCUUGGUGAGCCGUUACCUCUCCAACUAGCUAAUCAGACGCGGGUCCAUCUCAUACCACCUCAGUUUUUCACACCAAACCAUGCGGUUUUGUGCGCUUAUGCGGUAUUAGCAGUCAUUUCUAACUGUUAUCCCCCUGUAUGAGGCAGGUUACCCACGCGUUACUCACCCGUCCG